CGCGGCCUAUCAGCUUGUUGGUGAGGUAACGGCUCACCAAGGCGACGACGGGUAGCCGGCCUGAGGGGGCGACCGGCCACACUGGGACUGAGACACGGCCCAGACUCCUACGGGAGGCAGCAGUGGGGAAUAUUGCACAAUGGGCGGAAGCCUGAUGCAGCGACGCCGCGUGAGGGAUGACGGCCUUCGGGUUGUAAACCUCUUUCAGCAGGGAAGAAGCGAAAGUGACGGUACCUGCAGAAGAAGCGCCGGCUAACUACGUGCCAGCAGCCGCGGUAAUACGUAGGGCGCAAGCGUUGUCCGGAAUUAUUGGGCGUAAAGAGCUCGUAGGCGGCUUGUCGCGUCGGAUGUGAAAGCCCGGGGCUUAACCCCGGGUCUGCAUUCGAUACGGGCAGGCUAGAGUUCGGUAGGGGAGAUCGGAAUUCCUGGUGUAGCGGUGAAAUGCGCAGAUAUCAGGAGGAACACCGGUGGCGAAGGCGGAUCUCUGGGCCGAUACUGACGCUGAGGAGCGAAAGCGUGGGGAGCGAACAGGAUUAGAUACCCUGGUAGUCCACGCCGUAAACGGUGGGAACUAGGUGUUGGCGACAUUCCACGUCGUCGGUGCCGCAGCUAACGCAUUAAGUUCCCCGCCUGGGGAGUACGG
Molecule: ribosomal RNA, 643 nt
Filed under: uncultured Actinomycetes bacterium
Lineage: Bacteria; Bacillati; Actinomycetota; Actinomycetes
Description: bacterial SSU rRNA
Rfam family: Bacterial small subunit ribosomal RNA
Source: RNAcentral